Molecule: small RNA, 1101 nt
Filed under: Malus domestica (apple)
Lineage: Eukaryota; Viridiplantae; Streptophyta; Magnoliopsida; Rosales; Rosaceae
Description: sRNA MD13G0098300
Source: RNAcentral
CGCGUGGCCAACUUGGACAAAUGCAAACUUGGUUGCAAGAAAAAAGUUGGAAGGGCAACAUAAUUGGAAAAUUGGGUUACAACAAUCACCCUUUAAACUGCAGAGAAGUCUUCAUUUGAAGUUCUUUUCGACUGGGAUGAGAAGAUUGGAGUCCCGAGAGCAUUCAUAAUUAGAAAUGAGCAUCAGAGUGAGUUUUAUUUGAGUUGAUAACUGACCUUUAUGUGCAUUUUUGGUUUGGCUCUUAUUUGAAAUAUUUUUCUAAUUGUGAUCAUUGUGCCUCAUGUUUUGUUAGGAUUUUGAUAUUCUAAUUUCUUUGUAUAAGAUUAGUGUAUGUGUUAGGAAUUUCGGGUUUAGUCAUUUUUGUAUACUAUCACAAGAUAUGUGCUUGCACUUGCUAAUCUUUUUUGCUAUGUUUGUAUAAAUAUGAUAUUGAUGUGGUUAUAAGAAAUAAGAAAGUGACUUCAAAUGCCCAUUUCAUUUGAGUCUUAUCUUUUCCGUCUGAAUAUUAAUAAUCAGAUCAAAUUCUUUGACCUAAGCCGUAAAUUUUGUGGGUUGAAAAAAAAAACACUGAAUUAUGUGAAGUGGAAUGAAACCAUAGGUUUUUGUAAUACAUUUGGAAAUGAACAUUAUUAUGCUUUUGUAAUAUGAUGCUCUCUUAAUUUUAUUAUGUAAUUUGUUUCUGUAAUACGAUGAUCUCUUAACUUGCUUUUGCAGAUCUUCUUUGGUUCCUAUGCUAGCUUUGUGUGUCUCCAUCUCCAAAUAAUUUAGUUGAAAAUCACUAAUACGCAUGCAAAUUUGAAAGGGUUUUGAUCUUUCGAUGAGUUUAAAAUGUUUGUUGGUGGUUGGUUGUAUUGCUGUCAAAUAUUUGUUGGAUAGUUUGGAACGGAGAAGUUGGUUGAUUUAGAGAAACUGAAUACACAUGGAAUUUGGAAGAGUUUUUGGUCUUAUAUUGGUUUAAACUACUUUUUUGACAAUGAGUACUGGAGGGAACUUUUGGUGUUCCAUUGAACAAUUUUUGUCAUAUUUUAUCAAUGUAAAUGACACAAUAUUUCUUAACGUUUUUUGCAUGUAAAUAGCCCAAAGUUCCAUAACCUUUUGUAU